This 253-nucleotide ribosomal RNA is filed under the name uncultured bacterium. Its description in RNAcentral is "partial 16S ribosomal RNA". It matches the Rfam family "Bacterial small subunit ribosomal RNA", at positions 524 to 776 of the family's 1533-position model. RNAcentral also lists the same sequence under 1 other name. The record is from RNAcentral.
UACGAGGGGGGCGAGCGUUGUUCGGAAUUAUUGGGCGUAAAGGGUGCGUAGGCGGUUUGGUAAGUCUGAUGUGAAAUCUAUGGGCUCAACUCAUAGUCUGCAUCGGAAACUGCCGGGCUUGAGUGUGGGAGAGGUGAGUGGAAUUCCUGGUGUAGCGGUGAAAUGCGUAGAUAUCAGGAGGAACACCUGUGGCGAAAGCGGCUCACUGGACCAUAACUGACGCUGAUGCACGAAAGCUAGGGGAGCAAACAGG